UGGGGAAUAUUGGACAAUGGGCGCAAGCCUGAUCCAGCCAUGCCGCGUGAGUGAUGAAGGCCCUAGGGUUGUAAAGCUCUUUCAACGGUGAAGAUAAUGACGGUAACCGUAGAAGAAGCCCCGGCUAACUUCGUGCCAGCAGCCGCGGUAAUACGAAGGGGGCUAGCGUUGUUCGGAAUUACUGGGCGUAAAGCGCACGUAGGCGGAUUGGUAAGUUAGGGGUGAAAUCCCAGGGCUCAACCCUGGAACUGCCUUUAAUACUGCUGAUCUAGAGUUCGAGAGAGGUGAGUGGAAUUCCGAGUGUAGAGGUGAAAUUCGUAGAUAUUCGGAGGAACACCAGUGGCGAAGGCGGCUCACUGGCUCGAUACUGACGCUGAGGUGCGAAAGCGUGGGGAGCAAACAGG
This 404-nucleotide ribosomal RNA is filed under the name uncultured prokaryote. RNAcentral's name for it is "bacterial SSU rRNA". It matches the Rfam family "Bacterial small subunit ribosomal RNA", at positions 355 to 776 of the family's 1533-position model. RNAcentral also lists the same sequence under 1 other name. The record is from RNAcentral.